AUUGAACGCUGGCGGCAUGCCUUACACAUGCAAGUCGAACGGCAGCACGGGAGCAAUCCUGGUGGCGAGUGGCGAACGGGUGAGUAAUAUAUCGGAACGUGCCCGGUCGUGGGGGAUAACGUAGCGAAAGCUACGCUAAUACCGCAUACGAUCUACGGAUGAAAGCGGGGGAUCGCAAGACCUCGCGCGAUUGGAGCGGCCGAUAUCAGAUUAGGUAGUUGGUGAGGUAAAGGCUCACCAAGCCGACGAUCUGUAGCUGGUCUGAGAGGACGACCAGCCACACUGGGACUGAGACACGGCCCAGACUCCUACGGGAAGCAGCAGUGGGGAAUUUUGGACAAUGGGCGCAAGCCUGAUCCAGCAAUGCCGCGUGCAGGAUGAAGGCCUU
This 388-nucleotide ribosomal RNA is filed under the name uncultured bacterium. RNAcentral's name for it is "bacterial SSU rRNA". It matches the Rfam family "Bacterial small subunit ribosomal RNA", at positions 30 to 418 of the family's 1533-position model. The record is from RNAcentral.